ACAGUUGUUUUUGGUUGUCU
Molecule: non-coding RNA, 20 nt
Filed under: Arabidopsis thaliana (thale cress)
Lineage: Eukaryota; Viridiplantae; Streptophyta; Magnoliopsida; Brassicales; Brassicaceae
Source: RNAcentral